Molecule: ribosomal RNA, 1166 nt
Filed under: Stizoides foxi
Lineage: Eukaryota; Metazoa; Arthropoda; Insecta; Hymenoptera; Crabronidae
Description: eukaryotic LSU rRNA
Rfam family: Eukaryotic large subunit ribosomal RNA
Source: RNAcentral
GAAACCGUUCAGGGGUAAACCUGAGAAACCCAAAAGAUCGAAUGGGGAGAUUCAUCGUCAGCGGCCUCGGCCUCACGGCGGCGCGCGAUGCCACGCGCGCGGAUCCUCCGUGGUUCGCGUCGCGAUGGCACGCCGCCGUCGACGAACGUCCGGGGUCGUAGUCGUGCACUUCUCCCCUAGUAGAACGUCGCGACCCGUUGAGUGUCGGUCUACGGCCCGAGCGGUCGCCUGUCACGAGCGCGAAAGCGCACGCGUCAGACCCUCGGUAGCCCGGCCGGCUGCUCGGCGGUACUCGCACGGUAUCGGGCCGCAACCAUUCCAUUUGAAUUUAUGCGUCGGGCCCGCCGCAAGCCUAGGUCAGCUUCAACCCGGAGGUCACGGACGUAGCGCCGUCCCCGGGGCUGUCCGGCUGUUGGUCGGCGGUGUCCUCGGACUGGCCAAGCUCUCGAAAUACCGGUCGGCGACGCUACUGCUUUGGGUACUCUCAGGACCCGUCUUGAAACACGGACCAAGGAGUCUAACAUGUACGCGAGUCAUUGGGAUGUAAAAACCUAAAGGCGAAAUGAAAGUGAAGGUCGUACCUUAGCGUCGACCGAGGGAGGAUGGGCCGCGUUACGAUGCGGCUCCGCACUCCCGGGGCGUCUCGUUCUCAUUGCGAGAAGAGGCGCACCCAGAGCGUACACGUUGGGACCCGAAAGAUGGUGAACUAUGCCUGGUCAGGACGAAGUCAGGGGAAACCCUGAUGGAGGUCCGUAGCGAUUCUGACGUGCAAAUCGAUCGUCGGAACUGGGUAUAGGGGCGAAAGACUAAUCGAACCAUCUAGUAGCUGGUUCCCUCCGAAGUUUCCCUCAGGAUAGCUGGCACUCGCUCGUUCUCUCGGGAACGCAUCUGAGUCUCAUCUGGUAAAGCGAAUGAUUAGAGGCCUUGGGGCCGAAACGACCUCAACCUAUUCUCAAACUUUAAAUGGGUGAGAUCUCUGGCUUGCUUGAAUUGUGAAGCCAUGAGAUAUCGGAUCAGAGUUGCCAAGUGGGCCAAUUUUGGUAAGCAGAACUGGCGCUGUGGGAUGAACCAAACGCGGAGUUAAGGCGCCUAAGUCGACGCUUAUGGGAUACCAUGAAAGGCGUUGGUUGCUUAAGACAGCAGGACGGUGGCCAUGGAAGUCKGAA